This 499-nucleotide ribosomal RNA is filed under the name uncultured Acaulospora. Its description in RNAcentral is "SSU rRNA". It matches the Rfam family "Eukaryotic small subunit ribosomal RNA", at positions 569 to 1071 of the family's 1831-position model. Lineage: Eukaryota; Fungi; Glomeromycota; Glomeromycetes; Diversisporales; Acaulosporaceae. The record is from RNAcentral.
AGCAGCCGCGGUAAUUCCAGCUCCAAUAGCGUAUAUUAAAGUUGUUGCAGUUAAAAAGCUCGUAGUUGAAUUUCGGGGUUCAUACGUUGGUCGGGCUUUUGGGUCUGUACUGGCGUAAUGGAUUCCUACCUUCUGAAUAACCGGCAUGCCAUUAACUUGGUGCGCCGGGGAAGCAGGACUGUUACCUUGAAAAAUUAGAGUGCUUAAAGCAGGCUAUCGCCUGAAUACAUUAGCAUGGAAUAAUGAAAUAGGACGGCAUGGUUCUAUUUUAUUGGUUUCUAGGAUCACCGUAAUGAUUAAUAGGGAUAGUUGGGGGCAUUAGUAUUCAAUUGUCAGAGGUGAAAUUCUUGGAUUUAUUGAAGACUAACUUCUGCGAAAGCAUUUGCCAAGGAUGUUUUCAUUAAUCAAGAACGAAAGUUAGGGGAUCGAAGACGAUCAGAUACCGUCGUAGUCUUAACCAUAAACUAUGCCGACUAGGGAUCGGACGAUGUUAAUUUUU